GUGACCUCAAAUCAGGUAGGACUACCCGCUGAACUUAAGCAUAUCAAUAAGCGGAGGAAAAGAAACUAACAAGGAUUCCCCUAGUAACUGCGAGUGAAGCGGGAAAAGCUCAAAUUUAAAAUCUGUCAGUCUUUGGCUGUCCGAGUUGUAAUCUAGAGAAGUGUUAUCCGCGCUGGACCGUGUACAAGUCUCCUGGAAUGGAGCGUCAUAGAGGGUGAGAAUCCCGUCUUUGACACGGACUGCCAGGGCUUUGUGAUAUGCUCUCAAAGAGUCGAGUUGUUUGGGAAUGCAGCUCAAAAUGGGUGGUAAAUUCCAUCUAAAGCUAAAUAUUGGCGAGAGACCGAUAGCGAACAAGUACCGUGAGGGAAAGAUGAAAAGAACUUUGGAAAGAGAGUUAAACAGUACGUGAAAUUGCUGAAAGGGAAACGCUUGAAGUCAGUCGCGUUGUCCAGGGAUCAGCCUUGCUUUUGCUUGGUGUACUUUCUGGUUGACGGGUCAGCAUCAAUUUUGACUGUUGGAAAAAGGUCAGGGGAAUGUGGCAUCUUCGGAUGUGUUAUAGCCCUUGGUUGCAUACAAUGGUUGGGAUUGAGGAACUCAGCACGCCGCAAGGCCGGGUAACUAUUACCACGUACGUGCUAGGAUGCUGCU
This 648-nucleotide ribosomal RNA is filed under the name Phlegmacium variosimile. RNAcentral's name for it is "eukaryotic LSU rRNA". It matches the Rfam family "Eukaryotic large subunit ribosomal RNA", at positions 1 to 630 of the family's 3401-position model. The record is from RNAcentral. Lineage: Eukaryota; Fungi; Basidiomycota; Agaricomycetes; Agaricales; Cortinariaceae.